UACAGAGGGGGCAAGCGUUGUUCGGAAUUACUGGGCGUAAAGGGCGCGUAGGCGGCCUGUUAAGUCGAACGUGAAAUCCCCGGGCUCAACCCGGGAACUGCGUGUGAGACUGGCAGGCUCGAGGGCAGGAGAGGAACGCGGAAUUCCAGGUGUAGCGGUGAAAUGCGUAGAUAUCUGGAGGAACACCGGUGGCGAAGGCGGCGUUCUGGACUGUCUCUGACACUGAAGAACGAAAGCCAGGGGAGCAAACGGG
RNAcentral lists this ribosomal RNA (253 nucleotides) under uncultured bacterium. Its description in RNAcentral is "partial 16S ribosomal RNA". It matches the Rfam family "Bacterial small subunit ribosomal RNA", at positions 524 to 776 of the family's 1533-position model. The record is from RNAcentral.